This 1042-nucleotide long non-coding RNA is filed under the name Rattus norvegicus (Norway rat). RNAcentral's name for it is "long non-coding RNA NONRATT017460". The record is from RNAcentral. Lineage: Eukaryota; Metazoa; Chordata; Mammalia; Rodentia; Muridae.
CUCAGUACAAAACUGUCAGCUCCCGCACUUGCCUGGAGCAGUGGGAAGUACGUGGUGGUUUGUUUUGUUUUGUUUUCUGUCAUGUGUGUGGGGACUUUGCCUAUAUGUAUGUGCAGCACAUGGCCUGUCUUGUAUCUGGGAAGGCCAGAGGUGGGUGUUGGAUCCCCUGGAACUAGAAUUAACAGGUAAUUGUGAGCUGCCAUGUAUGUGCUGGGAAUUGAACCUGGGCCCUCUGGAAGAGCAGCCAGUGUACUCAACUAUGGAGCUGUCUCAACCUCCACACAGUGUCUGUUUUCAUACGCUGCUGUCUGACCAAGCUUUGUAGGUUUUGGUGGCCUUUUUGUAGCUCAAACCCCACCAUCUUACCUUAAUGUCUGUGGGAUUCUAAAACAGGUCAGAACAUCUCCCAAGGACCCACAUGUGCAACAUACACUCGUGAUAUAUUGGGAGGUGGCAGGGUAGGUCGUCACCUGGUGUACCAGAAACCAACCUGAGUAAGCUAAGGGGAACAGGCUGGUCUGCAGCCCCCCUCUGGGGCCUCUGCUUCUGUCCUGCCUCCAGGCUCCAUCAUUCCUUGAGUUCCUGCCCUCCAUUGUGGAUGGUAAUCUGAGGUGUAAUAAAGCCCUUUCCUCCUCAGCUUUGUUUUGGUCACUGUGGAAAUCUAACUAAGACAGAAAUCAGAACCAGGAGUGGGGGUUUGCUGUGAAACCUGACCACGUUGCCUGGCAAGGAUUAUGGAGGUAUUUGGACCUUUGGGCUAGAAAAGCCAUUAAGCACUUAAAGCAUCGUGGGUUGUUCUGUGGGAAGCCCGGUGAUGGAGUCCUGGCCUACAAAGUUCAGACGGAGGCAAAGGCUACGGUGGCCACUUGUGAUCUGUUUUAAAUUUAGAAUCUGUGGUUCUGGUCAGCUGGGGCUGAAGAACCAGUUGUGAUAAACAGACCGGAAUUACUGAAGUGAAUCCUUUGCUUUAACUGAUGCUAACUGAAUCAGUUGUGAUUUAGAAGAGACCAGCAUCAUUAAGAUAAAACCUAGAAAUCUGGGG